RNAcentral lists this ribosomal RNA (460 nucleotides) under uncultured bacterium. Its description in RNAcentral is "partial 16S ribosomal RNA". It matches the Rfam family "Bacterial small subunit ribosomal RNA", at positions 338 to 795 of the family's 1533-position model. The record is from RNAcentral.
CCUACGGGAGGCAGCAGUGAGGAAUAUUGGUCAAUGGGCGCGAGCCUGAACCAGCCAAGUAGCGUGAAGGAUGACUGCCCUACGGGUUGUAAACUUCUUUUAUAAAGGAAUAAAGUGAGGCACGUGUGCCUUUUUGUAUGUACUUUAUGAAUAAGGAUCGGCUAACUCCGUGCCAGCAGCCGGGGUAAUAAGGAGGAUCCGAGCGUUAUCCGGAUUUAUUGGGGUUAAAGGGAGCGUAGAUGGGUUUGUAAGUCAGUUGUGAAAGUGUGCGGCUCAAACGUAAAAUUGCAAUUGAUACUGGCAGCCUUGAGUACAGGUGAGGUAGGCGGAAUUCGUGGUGUAGCGGUGAAAUGCUUAGAUAUCACGAAGAACUCCGAUUGCGAAGGCAGCUUACUAAACUGCCACUGACAUUGAUGCUCGAAAGUGUGGGUAUCAAACAGGAUUAGAUACCCUUGUAGUC